This 301-nucleotide ribosomal RNA is filed under the name uncultured bacterium. RNAcentral describes it as "partial 16S ribosomal RNA". It matches the Rfam family "Bacterial small subunit ribosomal RNA", at positions 509 to 809 of the family's 1533-position model. The record is from RNAcentral.
CAGCCGCCGCGGUAAUACAGAGGGUGCAAGCGUUAAUCGGAAUUACUGGGCGUAAAGCGCGCGUAGGUGGUUUGUUAAGUUGGAUGUGAAAUCCCCGGGCUCAACCUGGGAACUGCAUCCAACACUGGCAAGCUAGAGUAUGGUAGAGGGUGGUGGAAUUUCCUGUGUAGCGGUGAAAUGCGUAGAUAUAGGAAGGAACACCAGUGGCGAAGGCGACCACCUGGACUGAUACUGACACUGAGGUGCGAAAGCGUGGGGAGCAAACAGGAUUAGAUACCCGCGUAGUCCCUGUCUCUUAUAA